This is a long non-coding RNA of Harmonia axyridis, 780 nucleotides long. RefSeq lists it as uncharacterized. NCBI's taxonomy places the organism in Eukaryota, Metazoa, Arthropoda, Insecta, Coleoptera, Coccinellidae. The transcript is spliced from 2 exons. The record is from RefSeq and is a predicted model, not a curated record.
UCCUGUUAUUUCCCUUGGGCAGCAUGUGCGAGAUACCGAGCGUGAAAAAGUCCGGAAUUCCGGUGGGGUCCGCGAGAGCCUCCUGGAACAGUUUUGCUAGAUGUCUGUGUGUUGCCGAGAAGUACUUCCACCAGUAAUUCUGUAUUUUAUCGACGCCAGGUGCUGACCAGUUGUUUGUCUUUUUAAGUGUCAGUUUUAUGUCAUCCUCAGAUAUGUUUACGUCGUCCAUGUGGUACUUGGUGGAGGCUGCUUCGGCUUCCCUGAUCCAAUGGGCUUUGUCAUCGUGGAGUUUUCCCCCCUCCCACACGCUCUUCCAGAAUUGAUGCAUUGAUUCCUCCGUGGGUGGACUCUCUUCCUCAGAUGUUUCUUGUUCGAGGUGGCGGAAGAACUGCUGUUUAUUUCUAUAAUAGAGCUGGUUGUUCUUAUACCUUUUUACUCUUUCGUUAUAUCGUUGGAUUCUACUUCCUAAUGCUUUUAUUCUUUGUUUCAGCCUGUCAAUGAUUACGGUUAAGUUUUCCCUGAAGUUGUUGCUACGGGCUUUAAUCCUGAAUUCCGACGCUAUUCAGUGUGCAAGCUUCUCUACUCUAGUGGAUGGUGCUUCAGUAUUCAGGCGACACUUCCAAGGUGGUGUUGUUUCCGUUUUAUACGAUCGCGCAUCUCUAAUCUUCAUCCCCAACUCGGAGCAUACGGUAAUUGCCCCCGCAUAAACGAAAUCUGUUACGUCUUCCAGUUUCCAGUUGUUCCGUGAGUUUUUCUGAAUUAAAUUAUCUACCUCUUGUA